RNAcentral lists this ribosomal RNA (545 nucleotides) under uncultured Bacilli bacterium. RNAcentral describes it as "bacterial SSU rRNA". It matches the Rfam family "Bacterial small subunit ribosomal RNA", at positions 189 to 723 of the family's 1533-position model. The record is from RNAcentral. Lineage: Bacteria; Bacillati; Bacillota; Bacilli.
AUGAUGUUGACUUGAAAGGUGCAACUGCAUCACUAAGAGAUGGACCUGCGUUGUAUUAGCUAGUUGGUGAGGUAACGGCUCACCAAGGCGACGAUACAUAGCCGACCUGAGAGGGUGAUCGGCCACACUGGGACUGAGACACGGCCCAGACUCCUACGGGAGGCAGCAGUAGGGAAUCUUCGGCAAUGGACGGAAGUCUGACCGAGCAACGCCGCGUGAGUGAAGAAGGUUUUCGGAUCGUAAAGCUCUGUUGUAAGAGAAGAACGAGUGUGAGAGUGGAAAGUUCACACUGUGACGGUAACUUACCAGAAAGGGACGGCUAACUACGUGCCAGCAGCCGCGGUAAUACGUAGGUCCCGAGCGUUAUCCGGAUUUAUUGGGCGUAAAGCGAGCGCAGGCGGUUAGAUAAGUCUGAAGUUAAAGGCUGUGGCUUAACCAUAGUACGCUUUGGAAACUGUUUAACUUGAGUGCAGAAGGGGAGAGUGGAAUUCCAUGUGUAGCGGUGAAAUGCGUAGAUAUAUGAAGGAACACCGGUGGCGAAAGCG